AACGAACCACCACUCGACCUCCGUCAUUUCUUGACCCAUCGCUGCCGUUGCCGUGGCCGGAGCUCGCCGGAAUCUGCCAUUUUUGCCGGAUUUCCAGUUUGAAUUUUGAGCUCUUCGUUCUCCUUCAAUUCUCCACCAAAUCGAUCGAGUAAGGUAUGGUUUCUCAGCUAUUUUUCGUGUUCUAGCUGAUGGAUGUAUGAGUCUCGAUCGAGUUUAGCUCUAGAGUGUUCGAUUUUCGACUUGAAAAUCGGCAGAAACUUCGGCCGCCGUGAUCGGCCGUUUCUGGUCACUUUUUGGGGUAUGUCCAAGAACAAAAGUGACUCCAAAUGGGGUGUUUUACCUAGAAUAGGAGUUUGGAGUCUUGGUUCCGAGAUUUUUCGGCCUCCCGAAAUCGCUCAGGACACCCAAAUCUGCCUGCGCGUGCUGGGUCGCGUGGGCGAGGGUAGUGACGUAAUUAUGUGCAGUUUUGUGAUCCUGGUGUAGUCACGAGCGCGUAGGAUUUCGCGGAGCUCAAUUCGGAGUCCGUUUGGGCCCCGAACGGAUUUUCCAUAUCGCGCGAUCCUUGGGUGCAGUGUCGUCCAAUCGUUGGAUCGCGCUGAAUUUUGGAUAUGUCGGUCUACGUGAUUUCAGGAUCGUGUAGGAUUCGACGGAUUGCGAAUCGGAGUCCCAGAUACUCCGAAAUCGCGAACCCUAGGGCUAGGGUUUGGAUUUUAAGCGAUAACGCGAAUUUGGCCAAUCCGACCGUGCGUUUCGGACCAAAUUCGCGGAACAUGGUUCCUUCUCUGUUAGGAAACUUCAGAGAAGCCCAGAUUGGCCAUCGGAGACCGUGGACCCGCGGGGUCCCGGAUCGGCCUGUCUGGUGGUUUAUCGCUUAGUGAGGCUUCGGGUCUCUUAAAGUCGUUCUAAGUGUCUGAAAAGCUAAUGUGGGCAUAGGAGUAACUUGAAAUGAGUGCACGUAUUUCUAGGAGCCGUGGGCAGGGUGUUUAAUUUAAAUUCUUUUUAUUCAGCAGUUUAUUAAUUUACUAUUCAUGGUUAAUCAGGCACCAGAGGUCCAGUUGACCCACAGGAGGGACCUUCGAAGGGUCCAGCUAGCUCGGACCAACAGUGAGUGGACUUUUCUUUCUUAAACGGUUUUAUGAUUAUAUUUUCUAUUUGAUUUUGAAUAAGUGUUAUAGAAUGAAUUUUAUUGUGAAAUAUCUUUAUUUUUAUAAAAUUUAGCCGAGCAAACAGAUUUGAGGUUCUUGAUACAGAAAUACUAAUUUAGCUCAGAUUUACCAGAAUACAGUGGAUUAUCAGAAUUUAUCAGAGAUAGUUAUUUUAGAACCACCGUGUACCCAUUAUCUUUGGUGAUUACCCACAGUCGGACUGAUGUCUACGGACAUCCAGUCUGAUUUCAGUUACGUCAAUGCAUUUGACUUUGCCUCACGAGUUUCGGGGACACUCGGACCGUGAGUGCCAGGAUUUGCGGCUCGGCAGACUUGGUGUCCCGAGACCUGCCAGGAUUGCGGCUCGGCUGACUCUGUGUCCCCGAGACCUGCCAGGAUUGCGAAUCAGGCUGACUACGGUCCCCUGCAUCCUACCAGAGCGGCUCGAGUCGACUUGGCGUCAUCGAGACCUGCCGACGGAUCAGGCUGAUCAUAGUCCCCUGAUUUUACCAGUUUGCGGCUCGGGUAGCCUGCGUGACGCCCGAGACCUGCCAGGGGAAUUGACGGAUAUGACAGGGGUAAAAUUAGGUGGUAGUUUCAAAGGAUUUUAAGCUCUUUUAUACAGUUACGACUUUCAGUUGUUUUAUACCAGUUCUGUGAUAUUCAUGCAUUUCUAUCUUUAUAUAUUUGUUCAGUUAUGCGAAUAUAUUCAUCAGUAUAUUUAUUCAUGUUUAUUGAGUACUUUAUAUUGAAAUAUAGUUAAAUUAUCGAUUUAUAUCCCUAGUAUUUCAAAACGGGGGUUAUUAUGUUCUAAAUUGUUUUUAAGAACCUUAUUUUUGUCCGCUCACAAUUUUAACCUUGUUUUUGGCCCCCAGGCCAUAGAAGUACGAAGGAAACCACUCGGGCCAUCUUCCCAGCUUCCGCCCCACCACCAAAUUGUAG
This 2087-nucleotide long non-coding RNA is filed under the name Prunus persica (peach). RNAcentral's name for it is "long non-coding RNA (PPER_LNC002243)". Lineage: Eukaryota; Viridiplantae; Streptophyta; Magnoliopsida; Rosales; Rosaceae. The record is from RNAcentral.